GUCGCUGACGCCGGCGCGGAGAAGAAGGCCGAGCGACUCGCUCUUAGGGUUGGCGAGAACCUCUUCAAUUUCAUGCAGUCCUUCUGCGGGAUUGACGGAAGCUGGCUCAUCGUGCCCAUGGAUAUCCUUGACCGGUGGUUCAAGAAGUUCCAGGAGCGAGCCCGGAAGGAUCCCAGUUACCUCAAAGGUUUUGCCUUGUGACAGACAGGUGCAACAACUUGAAAGACACAAAGAUAUUGACAAACACAUAAACCAUCAUUUCUUAUUACGAGAUGAAGAGGAUUCUGGUGAAGAAGGAUUAUAGAAGUUAUCUCUAGAUCACGAG
Zingiber officinale is the source of this 325-nucleotide long non-coding RNA. RefSeq lists it as uncharacterized. The transcript has 3 exons. NCBI's taxonomy places the organism in Eukaryota, Viridiplantae, Streptophyta, Magnoliopsida, Zingiberales, Zingiberaceae. The record is from RefSeq and is a predicted model, not a curated record.